This 414-nucleotide ribosomal RNA is filed under the name uncultured bacterium. RNAcentral's name for it is "bacterial SSU rRNA". It matches the Rfam family "Bacterial small subunit ribosomal RNA", at positions 355 to 775 of the family's 1533-position model. The record is from RNAcentral.
UCGAGGAUCUUCGGCAAUGGGCGCAAGCCUGACCGAGCGACGCCGCGUGCGCGAUGAAGGCCUUCGGGUUGUAAAGCGCUGUCGAGGGGGAGGAAGCUCCGCAAGGGGUUGACCUAUCCCUGGAGGAAGCACGGGCUAAGUUCGUGCCAGCAGCCGCGGUAAGACGAACCGUGCGAACGUUGUUCGGAAUCACUGGGCUUAAAGGGCGCGUAGGCGGGUCACCAAGUCCGGGAUGAAAGCUUUCGGCUUAACCGGAAAAGGGCCUUGGAUACUGGUGGCCUCGAGGGAGGUAGGGGUCUGCGGAACUUCUGGUGGAGCGGUGAAAUGCGUUGAUAUCAGAAGGAACGCCGGUGGCGAAAGCGGCGGACUGGACCUCUUCUGACGCUGAGGCGCGAAAGCCAGGGGAGCAAACGG